Molecule: ribosomal RNA, 330 nt
Filed under: uncultured bacterium
Lineage: Bacteria
Description: bacterial SSU rRNA
Rfam family: Bacterial small subunit ribosomal RNA
Source: RNAcentral
CAUGGCUCAGAUUGAACGCUGGCGGCAUGCUUUACACAUGCAAGUCGGACGGCAGCGGGGUAGUGCUUGCACUACUGCCGGCGAGUGGCGAACGGGUGAGUAAUAUAUUGGAACGUACCGAGUAAUGGGGGAUAACCAAUCGAAAGAUUGGCUAAUACCGCAUACGCUCUGAGGAGGAAAGCAGGGGACCUUCGGGCCUUGCGUUAUUCGAGCGGCCAAUAUCUGAUUAGCUAGUUGGUGGGGUAAAGGCCUACCAAGGCGACGAUCAGUAGCGGGUCUGAGAGGAUGAUCCGCCACACUGGGACUGAGACACGGCCCAGACUCCUACGG